Molecule: ribosomal RNA, 544 nt
Filed under: uncultured bacterium
Lineage: Bacteria
Description: bacterial SSU rRNA
Rfam family: Bacterial small subunit ribosomal RNA
Source: RNAcentral
GGAAUUUUCCGCAAUGGGCGCAAGCCUGACGGAGCAACGCCGCGUGAGGGAUGAAGGCCUCUGGGCUGUAAACCUCUUUUAUCAAGGAAGAAGAUCUGACGGUACUUGAUGAAUAAGCCACGGCUAAUUCCGCGCCAGCAGCCGCGGUAAUACGGGAGUGGCAAGCGUUAUCCGGAAUUAUUGGGCGUAAAGCGUCCGCAGGCGGUUUUACAAGUCUGUCGUUAAAGCGUGGAGCUCAACUCCAUUUCAGCGAUGGAAACUGUAAGACUCGAGUGUGGUAGGGGCAGAGGGAAUUCCCGGUGUAGCGGUGAAAUGCGUAGAUAUCGGGAAGAACACCAGUGGCGAAAGCGCUCUGCUGGGCCAUAACUGACGCUCAUGGACGAAAGCCAGGGGAGCGAAAGGGAUUAGAUACCCCUGUAGUCCUGGCCGUAAACGAUGAACACUAGGUGUCGGGGGAAUCGACCCCCUCGGUGUCGUAGCCAACGCGUUAAGUGUUCCGCCUGGGGAGUACGCACGCAAGUGUGAAACUCAAAUGAAUUGACGG